This 492-nucleotide ribosomal RNA is filed under the name uncultured bacterium. RNAcentral describes it as "partial 16S ribosomal RNA". It matches the Rfam family "Bacterial small subunit ribosomal RNA", at positions 29 to 507 of the family's 1533-position model. The record is from RNAcentral.
AGUGAACGCUGGCGGUAGGCCUAACACAUGCAAGUCGAACGGCAGCACAGUAAGAGCUUGCUCUUACGGGUGGCGAGUGGCGGACGGGUGAUGAAUACAUCGGAAUCUACUUUUUCGUGGGGGAGAACGUAGGGAAACUUACGCUAAUACCGCAUACGACCUACGGGUGAAAGCAGGGGAUCUUCGGACCUUGCGCGAUUGAAUGAGCCGAUGUCGGAUUAGCUAGUUGGCGGGGUAAAGGCCCACCAAGGCGACGAUCCGUAGCUGGUCUGAGAGGAUGAUCAGCCACACUGGAACUGAGACACGGUCCAAACUCCUACGGGAGGCAGCAGUGGGGAAUAUUGGACAAUGGGCGCAAGCCUGAUCCAGCCAUACCGCGUGGGUGAAGAAGGCCUUCGGGUUGUAAAGCCCUUUUGUUGGGAAAGAAAAGCAGCAGGUUAAUACCCCGCUGUUCUGACGGUACCCAAAGAAUAAGCACCGGCUAACUUCGUG